AGUGAACGCUGGCGGUAGGCCUAACACAUGCAAGUCGAACGGCAGCACAGUAAGAGCUUGCUCUUACGGGUGGCGAGUGGCGGACGGGUGAGGAAUACAUCGGAAUCUACUUUUUCGUGGGGGAUAACGUAGGGAAACUUACGCUAAUACCGCAUACGACCUACGGGUGAAAGCAGGGGAUCUUCGGACCUUGCGCGAUUGAAUGAGCCGAUGUCGGAUUAGCUAGUUGGCGGGGUAAAGGCCCACCAAGGCGACGAUCCGUAGCUGGUCUGAGAGGAUGAACAGCCAAACUGGAACUGAGACACGGUCCAGACUCCUACGGGAGGCAGCAGUGGGGAAUAUUGGACAAUGGGCGCAAGCCUGAUCCAGCCAUACCGCGUGGGUGAAGAAGGCCUUCGGGUUGUAAAGCCCUUUUGUUGGGAAAGAAAAGCAGCAGGUUAAUACCCCGCUGUUCUGACGGUACCCAAAGAAUAAGCACCGGCUAACUUCGUG
RNAcentral lists this ribosomal RNA (492 nucleotides) under uncultured bacterium. RNAcentral describes it as "partial 16S ribosomal RNA". It matches the Rfam family "Bacterial small subunit ribosomal RNA", at positions 29 to 507 of the family's 1533-position model. The record is from RNAcentral.